Molecule: transfer RNA, 75 nt
Filed under: Acholeplasma sp.
Lineage: Bacteria; Bacillati; Mycoplasmatota; Mollicutes; Acholeplasmatales; Acholeplasmataceae
Also listed under: 5 other names
Description: tRNA-Gly
Rfam family: tRNA
About the family: Transfer RNA (tRNA) molecules are approximately 80 nucleotides in length. Their secondary structure includes four short double-helical elements and three loops (D, anti-codon, and T loops).
Source: RNAcentral
GUGGGCGUAAUAUAAUGGUUAAUAUACGUGCUUGCCAAGCAUGAGAUGGGGGUUCGAUUCCCCUCGCCCGCUCCA